RNAcentral lists this ribosomal RNA (492 nucleotides) under uncultured bacterium. Its description in RNAcentral is "partial 16S ribosomal RNA". It matches the Rfam family "Bacterial small subunit ribosomal RNA", at positions 29 to 507 of the family's 1533-position model. The record is from RNAcentral.
AGUGAACGCUGGCGGUAGGCCUAACACAUGCAAGUCGAACGGCAGCACAGUAAGAGCUUGCUCUUACGGGUGGCGAGUGGCGGACGGGUGAGGAAUACGUCGGAAUCUACUUUUUCGUGGGGGAUAACGUAGGGAAACUUACGCUAAUACCGCAUGCGACCUACGGGUGAAAGCAGGGGAUCUUCGGACCUUGCGCGAUUGAAUGAGCCGAUGUCGGAUUAGCUAGUUGGCGGGGUAAAGGCCCACCAAGGCGACGAUCCGUAGCUGGUCUGAGAGGAUGAUCAGCCACACUGGAACUGAGACACGGUCCAGACUCCUACGGGAGGCAGCAGUGGGGAAUAUUGGACAAUGGGCGCAAGCCUGAUCCAGCCAUACCGCGUGGGUGAAGAAGGCCUUCGGGUUGUAAAGCCCUUUUGUUGGGAAAGAAAAGCAGCAGGUUAAUACCCCGCUGUUCUGACGGUACCCAAAGAAUAAGCACCGGCUAACUUCGUG